ACGCUCGACACCUACGGGGGGCAGCAGUCGGGAAUAUUGCGCAAUGGAGGAAACUCUGACGCAGUGACGCCGCGUAUAGGAAGAAGGUUUUCGGAUUGUAAACUAUUGUCGUUAGGGAAGAAAAAGGACAGUACCUAAGGAGGAAGCUCCGGCUAACUACGUGCCGGCAGUCGCGGUAAUCUGAGCGGGCUGGCAAGGC
This 199-nucleotide ribosomal RNA is filed under the name uncultured bacterium. RNAcentral describes it as "partial 16S ribosomal RNA". It matches the Rfam family "Bacterial small subunit ribosomal RNA", at positions 328 to 539 of the family's 1533-position model. The record is from RNAcentral.